CCCGGCUGCCCGCCGCGCGAGUGCGGGUGCAGGUGCCGGGAGCGCGGGUUGGACCCCGCUCCCCCAGCCGGCCGGUGCCUACGGACUGCGCGUCGGCUGGGCAGCCUCCGGAGUCCUCGGUGUGCGGGCGAGGCAUCUCAAAAAUGACUUUUGCAAUUCCGUGUGGCUUUGGUGACUCUGGUAAAAGAAAAUAUUUAACUGCAAGUAAUAGUUUUUCAAAUAGUAGCAAUAUAUACACCAUAUUAUAUGUAGAUCUACAGAUUCCCAAGAAAGGCCUCAAAAGGACAAAACAGUAAACACUUCCUGAAAUUUUCCUAAGUCUUGAAAGGAAAUCUGAUUUCAGGUCAGUUCAUAAAGUCCUAAUUUUCAUGAACUACUUUUAUUGUGAUAUAAAUGCCUAAAAACUUUUUAAAAGAGCCCAAGCUUGUGUCUCACUUCAGUCAGUACAUUUGUAUUGGGACAUACAUGCCUCAAAGAGCUAAAGUUUGUGUCUGACUUAUAAUUUGCCAACUAAAAAUGCCACACACAUACAUAAAGAAUGAAGCCACCAUUGUCCUGAAAAACCUUACACCUCAGAUCGAUGGCUCCACCCUGCGCACCCUGUGCAUGCAGCAUGGCCCGCUGAUAACAUUCCACCUGAACCCCAGCACGGAAGCGCUCUGGUCCGCUACAGUUUGAAAGAAGAGGUAAUGAAGGCACAAAAGUCUCUGCACAUGUGUGUACUGAGGAACACUACUAUCCUUGCUGAGUUUGCCAGUGAAGAGGAGAUCAGUCGUUUCUUUGCACAGGGUCAGUCCCUGACCCCUUCUCCUGGCUGUCAGUUUCUCGGGUCCAGCCAGAGUCGGCUGGACUCCCUCGACUGCUCCCACGCGUUCUCCAGCCAGACCGAUCUCAACCACUGGAAUGGUGCUGGGCUGUCGGGAACCAACUGUGGAGACCUUCACGGCACUUCCCUCUGGGGGACCCUGCACUAUUCCACAACCCUGUGGGGUCCCCCAAGCAGCAGUGACCCCCGGGGAAUUAGCAGCCCCUCCCCCAUUAACACGUUUCUUUCUGUUGACCACCUGGGUGGGGGGGACAGUCCAUGUGAAGCUGGAGGUGUAGCCUCCACCCGCGACCUCAAGACGCGAAGGAAAGGAGCACUAAGCUGGGCUCGCCGCCUGCAGCCAGGGCCACCUGUGGGAACAGCUCUUCUCUGCACAUUCUCCACUUUGUGUUCCCCGAAACAUAUCAGUUUGAAUACUUGAAUCAUGCAGGUCAAUAUUAUAAUGUGAACGGUAUCUAUUUACACUCCCAAGUGGCGCCAUACAUCCUAACCGGAUAGAGUGAGCUCACUUGUGCAUACUCAUCAUGUUUCGCCUUUGGAUUCAUUCAUUCUUUUUUUCUCUCCCCACCCCCUCUUUUGCAAAACUAUUUCUUGAGCUGAUAAUGUAUGAGCUUUUACCUUUGCACUGAAUGUUCUCCGUCUAAUCGGAAGUAUGGGGGGCAACUAUUCCAGUGUAAAUGUUUACUCAAGGAUGUUCUAAAAGGUGUGCGCUCUACUAUGCCUUGAUGUUGCCUACCUUUAUCGUGAUAUCGCAGAGUUUAAAAGAUCAAGCGAUGAUACUGACUUAGGAUUAUUAAUGAAAGUAUUGCACCAGUUUUUUCAUGUUGUAAAACUAAAGAAUUUCGCUCUGCAGUUUGAAAAACUGUGGCCACAGCUGUGAGUUGCAGCCCACCUGCCACCCAGGACGGGCCCUGCACUUUGAAUAGGCUUUUCCAUUUUGUUUUGAAGGUUCCCAUGUUGAGCCUUCUUGUUUACAGAUUUUUUGUUUGUUUUUUGAGAAAAAGUGUUUACUCUUCCAUCAUUUAAAAAAAAUUUAAAAGACAAAAAAAUGGAGGAUGAUUUAAAAGAUGCUUUCUAUCUCUGGGAAAAAGGAGCAGCAUUUGGCCAUGUACUUUUGUUUUUCUAUUCCUGUCCUAAAUCAAAGAGCAUGGUUCUCAGGAAAACCAGUUGCCCAGUUUAAAAAAAAAAAAAAAUCUUGUAGUUUCUUAUAGGAAAAGAAGAAAACCCCCAACUUUUAGCACUGAUACUACAUAUCGCUGUUAAAAGAAUUUUCUCUGCCACAAAAAAAGAAAAAACAAAAAAAAGCUUAAAGCUGGAGUUUGAUGUUCUGCUUUCAGAUGCUGUCUUUUUAUUAGUGAGUGAUGAUGGUUUGCUAAUAAUCAAUAGGUAAUAGUUUUUGUAACCCAUCAAGUGGCUCUCUAUGUUCCUGCUCUCGUGACUGUGUCAAUGUCUAACUGUUGUACCUUAAAGCCGAAAUCAGUAACUAUGCAUACUGUAACCAAGGUAUUGGGCUUACAGAGUUGUUUGUUGUAUAAAGAAAAUUUUAAAUGUUGUUGCAAACUAACGAGUUACACCAUUUUUAAAUUUCUUUCCUCCCCCUUUCGUUGCCCACAAAUGGUAUUAUAAUGUUUGCUUAGUCAAAGAAGAGACUAAAGAAGGGUAAAAAUUUUAACAGUACAGAACUUGCCAUCAUUUCAUUGCCUUGAUUCUAACUGUCUGUGUCCUAAGAUGCAAAAGAAGUCAGUGGCUUUAACUGUUUACAAAUAGAAUGUGAUUGUAAAAUGUACAGUUUGGUUGUGUUUGAAUUAUGAAAUUUUCUUCAGAUAUAAUAAACCAUGACUUUUUGGCUGCUCAACAUUAAUUGUCUCUUUUUUGUGAGUUUAUUUGUAGGCUCUUUUUUAUAGUGAAAGUUUCUAAGUUGCUAUGUAUGAGGUUCUCAUAGAACAACCAGUUAAAAAUCUAAGCAAAUAUUUGAACAUUUUAUCUGAACUCAUCCGCAAUUUCACCCUGAGAUAAUGUGAGAACAAUGGGAAACUGUAGCUUGCUCCUUCCUGCCCUCUGAGCAUCUUUGGGCCCCUGCUCCCCACAGACUCUGUGACUUCAUCUUCCCCACCAUUUGUGCCCAUCUCAAGCCUCAGCCAGACCGCCCGGACCUGGAGCUUAUGACCUGACGGUGUGCUCGUGCUAGCUCAGACCUCUGUCACGCAGUGGGGACGCGCGCCCGGCCGGCCUGCUCUGCUCUACUCUGCUCUGCUCUGCUCUGCUCUGCUCUGCUCUCCCCUCGCCCCGGCCCGCGCGGGGUCAGUAGGGCAGCGCCUGCGUUGCGUUGCGGAGUGUGACUCCAGACCGCGCUCCGGCUUGCAGGGUGUGAGCUAAUGUUGUUGGACACCUUCCUAGAAACAAAUGUUCAGUGCAUUCGGUGUAUAUUGACUUCCAUACUGGUUUUUCCAAAAACCAAAGGUAGCUUUGAAAAACUAUGUCUGGAGAUGUUUGGAUCUAACGGUAAGCUGAUGAUGGGGCUUUGAGUAGUAUACAAUGACUUCAUAACUGCGUUACUUGUAUUGUUAAAGUGUUUGAGAGGUUUUUGCGCUUGUUAUGUGGAAAUAAAGUGUUUGAUUUUGAAAAAAAAAAAAAAA
Non-coding RNA from Heterocephalus glaber (naked mole-rat), 3462 nucleotides. Lineage: Eukaryota; Metazoa; Chordata; Mammalia; Rodentia; Bathyergidae. The record is from RefSeq and is a predicted model, not a curated record.